This 298-nucleotide unclassified non-coding RNA is filed under the name Hevea brasiliensis (rubber tree). Lineage: Eukaryota; Viridiplantae; Streptophyta; Magnoliopsida; Malpighiales; Euphorbiaceae. The record is from RNAcentral.
CAGACUUGUUGGCAAGGUCUGUUAGAAGUCUUACUGUAUAAAUCUAGGUGUGAAUUCAAGCAGAACCUUGAAGUCUGUCUGUCUUCAACUGCUAAAACAAUUAUUGGUCUAAUGGAAAUCCAUUGCCCUUAGUGUUGAGAGCUUGUAAGGUAGUCAUCUCCAUUUGUUUACAGUAGAAAAUUUGAUGAAAGACUGGAUGGACAAAAUUAUGAUAUUCUGGGGUAUUUGCUUAGAAAACCUUGAUGCUGUAGCUAUGAGUUUUAUUAACUGUUUGUGUGAGGAGAAGGAACUUUGUUGG